Parasteatoda tepidariorum (common house spider) is the source of this 1888-nucleotide non-coding RNA. Lineage: Eukaryota; Metazoa; Arthropoda; Arachnida; Araneae; Theridiidae. The record is from RefSeq and is a predicted model, not a curated record.
AACUUCCUGCAGCUUCUGAGUGAAAAUUGAAAAGGUAAAGCAUUGGAUACUGAUGCAACUUAUAAUAAAACAGUUUAAUUCUCAUAAAAUAGAACAGGAAUUGAGGUAUGAGACUGCUCUUUGGAAAACCAUAAGGUCAUGCUGCCAACAAGAGAGAGACUGUUGAAAUAAACCAAUAAUGCUUACAUAAAGUUAGUGGCUUUACCAUUUGAUAUAAAUUUUAUAAAAUAUUUAGAAAUUCAAAUAAAUAACAAUCUUAUAGAAUUAGAGUGACAACAGACAGAUAAUGGAGGAUUUGCAACAACAGAAUAUUUAUUCCUGGUACUAUAAAUUACUUGAAAUGUUAAAGGAUAAGGAACAAGAACAUAGAGAAAGGAGGAAUGGCCCUCUCUAGUACUAACACUUCACUUUUCAAGGGCAUCUGAUCCAGUAGUUUAACCGGAAAAACCACACAUACAAUGAUGUACCGUACGUCACCGUUUGCGGAGUGAGAAAUGCAAUGAGGGGCUCAUAGGACGACAUUGCUGGGCGAUGUGAGUUCGCUAAGAUUCGAGUAUAUAAAGAGCAUCAGAACACGGAGAAAACCAGUUGUUGCUUUGGCAACGUUACGGGGUUGGAUACGCUUAUUACAUGUGAAGCUUUGCUUCCUGCUUGUUGCUGGAAUACUCUGCCAGACCCUCUGGAAACCUUGAAGUGUUAAAGGUGUUUAUUCUGUUCCUUCCCCUGGAAACUUUGGGACAUAAGAAGGUUUGGUACCGGGAGAUCGCUUCGAGCAGUGACAAAAUGCCCAGUAAAAGGGCUCCAAUGCCUUCCUCCAGAAAACCACCUACCAGUGAUUCUCUAAGCUUUGACAAAAGGGUUCCAAUGCCUUUCUCCAGAAAACCACCCACCAAUGAUUCUCCAAGUUUUGACACAAGUUUCACUCGAGUGGUUCCAGCAAAAUGCCUUUUACCAACUUAAGUGGUUCCAGCAAAAAGCCUUCUCCCAGCACCAGUUGUCCCACUAAAAUGCCUUCUUUCAGUCAGUAAAAGUGUAAGACAGUAAAAGUGAAAGGGUUCCAAAAGGUCCAGUAAAAUGGAUUCCAGUAAAAGUCAAGAGACUCCAAGCUCGAGUAAAAAACCUUCAAGCUCCAGUGGUUCUAGCAAAAUGCCAUCUUCGAGUUCUAGUUACAAACCCCCAAGCUGCAGUGGUUCCAAGAAAAGUAAAAAAUCCCCAAACUCCAGUGGUUACAAGAAAAGUGAAAGACCAGUGUUGGUCUUUCACUUUAUUUCACUUCAAGAAAGACCAAAGCUCCAGUGUUGCGAAGAUGGAUUCAUUCAGCUCCCGUGUUGCCGGUAAAAGUGAUACUCAAAGCUACAAUGAUGCUAGCACCUCAUCCAGCUCAUCAUCUUAUGCAGUAAAAGCGAAUGCUCAAGUGGUGACCAAAGUCAAAACUUUCCAAGGUAGCCCGACAAAAGACCAUACAUUUUGAGGCCCUGAAGAUAUUUCACAUCUCUACUUAAUUGCCGUGCUGUGCAUGCAAUGGAAUGGGUACACCAUGAUCAAUGGAUAUGUGAACCACUGUAUAGACGGACAUGUUCGGAGCCAAAUUUUACUCAAAAAACUGUUUCAUCUGCGAGUGGCCUAUGUGAUAAUCAUACACACCAUUACCAAGAGCAAGUGGGUCGCCAUCAUGGACACGCUACCAGAGUUUCUUCCAGCUUAACAAAUUAAAACUCUCACUUAAUGAAAACCGUUGAACCUAUCUGCCAGUGUGUAUGUAGUAGGGAAGAUUUCCAUUAGUGGUUAGCAGUCACGGGUGGCAUUUCCCUGCUUUUUCAACUACCGAUGGAACGUAUUGUUCAUUAACUUUUAAAAAUUUUAUGUAAAUAAAAAAAUUAUUUUGUAA